CCCUAGUGGCGGACGGGUGAGUAACGCGUGGGUAACCUGCCAUAUACAGGGGGAUAACACUUAGAAAUAGGUGCUAAUACCGCAUAAGCGCACAGGGGCGCAUGCCCCGGUGUGAAAAACUCCGGUGGUAUAUGAUGGACCCGCGUCUGAUUAGCCAGUUGGCAGGGUAACGGCCUACCAAAGCGACGAUCAGUAGCCGGCCUGAGAGGGCGGACGGCCACAUUGGGACUGAGACACGGCCCAAACUCCUACGGAAGGCAGCAG
This 264-nucleotide ribosomal RNA is filed under the name uncultured bacterium. Its description in RNAcentral is "partial 16S ribosomal RNA". It matches the Rfam family "Bacterial small subunit ribosomal RNA", at positions 90 to 354 of the family's 1533-position model. The record is from RNAcentral.